CCAGGAAAAAAAUAAAUAAUAGAUCUAGUUUUAAAUACACUUAAAACCCAUUUUGGUAAUUGUACACCCAAAAUCAAUUUUGAUUCAAACUAUCCAAACAACAUAAAUUGAUGAGAAUCACUUUUACAUUAACGUAUCCAAACAAAAAUCAAUUCUACCAAACUCACUUUUAACCAAAAUCAAUUCUGUCAAACUCAAUUCUACCAAACUCAAUUCUCGCCAACGCAUAACCAAACACACAC
RNAcentral lists this long non-coding RNA (242 nucleotides) under Trifolium pratense (red clover). Its description in RNAcentral is "long non-coding RNA (TPRA_LNC008996)". The record is from RNAcentral. Lineage: Eukaryota; Viridiplantae; Streptophyta; Magnoliopsida; Fabales; Fabaceae.